This 464-nucleotide ribosomal RNA is filed under the name Vreelandella stevensii. RNAcentral's name for it is "partial 16S ribosomal RNA". It matches the Rfam family "Bacterial small subunit ribosomal RNA", at positions 338 to 795 of the family's 1533-position model. Lineage: Bacteria; Pseudomonadati; Pseudomonadota; Gammaproteobacteria; Oceanospirillales; Halomonadaceae. The record is from RNAcentral.
CCUACGGGCGGCAGCAGUGGGGAAUAUUGGACAAUGGGGGCAACCCUGAUCCAGCCAUGCCGCGUGUGUGAAGAAGGCCCUCGGGUUGUAAAGCACUUUCAGUGAGGAAGAACGCCUGGUGGUUAAUACCCAUCAGGAAAGACAUCACUCACAGAAGAAGCACCGGCUAACUCCGUGCCAGCAGCCGCGGUAAUACGGAGGGUGCGAGCGUUAAUCGGAAUUACUGGGCGUAAAGCGCGCGUAGGUGGCUUGAUAAGCCGGUUGUGAAAGCCCCGGGCUCAACCUGGGAACGGCAUCCGGAACUGUCAAGCUAGAGUGCAGGAGAGGAAGGUAGAAUUCCCGGUGUAGCGGUGAAAUGCGUAGAGAUCGGGAGGAAUACCAGUGGCGAAGGCGGCCUUCUGGACUGACACUGACACUGAGGUGCGAAAGCGUGGGUAGCAAACAGGAUUAGAUACCGAGUAGUC